GUGGGGAAUUUUGGACAAUGGGCGCAAGCCUGAUCCAGCCAUGCCGCGUGCAGGAUGAAGGCCUUCGGGUUGUAAACUGCUUUUGUACGGAACGAAAAGACUUCUUCUAAUACAGGAGGUCCAUGACGGUACCGUAAGAAUAAGCACCGGCUAACUACGUGCCAGCAGCCGCGGUAAUACGUAGGGUGCAAGCGUUAAUCGGAAUUACUGGGCGUAAAGCGUGCGCAGGCGGUUAUAUAAGACAGAUGUGAAAUCCCCGGGCUCAACCUGGGAACUGCAUUUGUGACUGCAUCGCUGGAGUGCGGCAGAGGGGGAUGGAAUUCCGCGUGUAGCAGUGAAAUGCGUAGAUAUGCGGAGGAACACCGAUGGCGAAGGCAAUCCCCUGGGCCUGCACUGACGCUCAUGCACGAAAGCGUGGGGAGCAAACAGGAUUAGAUACCCGGGUAGUCC
Molecule: ribosomal RNA, 450 nt
Filed under: uncultured bacterium
Lineage: Bacteria
Description: partial 16S ribosomal RNA
Rfam family: Bacterial small subunit ribosomal RNA
Source: RNAcentral